Molecule: transfer-messenger RNA, 355 nt
Filed under: Dehalococcoidales bacterium
Lineage: Bacteria; Bacillati; Chloroflexota; Dehalococcoidia; Dehalococcoidales
Rfam family: transfer-messenger RNA
About the family: Bacterial tmRNA, also known as 10Sa RNA or SsrA, is named for its dual tRNA and mRNA-like properties. Its role is to liberate the mRNA from a stalled ribosome. To accomplish this part of the tmRNA is used as a reading frame that ends in a translation stop signal.
Source: RNAcentral
GGGGGCGCGUGGAUUCGACAGGAGGGGUAGGCUACAGAAUUGCAAGCUGAGGUGUCACUACCCUCAAUAAACCAGUGGCAAAAAAUAACUGCCGAAGAUGCAGUUCUCGUUGCUGCCUAAUUAAAUAGGUAGCACAUCCAGCUUGACCUUGCCUCAAUGGGUUGGGAUUGGGUGCCGUUCAGUUGAGGUGCCAUUACUCUGAUGUCGGUAGGGGUGAUGAAAGAAAUAUCGACUGGCUUAGUUAAACUCGGUCAACUGAGGUUGGCUAGGCAAGAGUAAAGAGUUGACUAAGCUUGUAGUAAAUUCUGGGUAGUUUCUCUUGGACGGGGAGUUCGACUCUCCCCCGCCUCCACCA